RNAcentral lists this ribosomal RNA (867 nucleotides) under Chalaropsis thielavioides. RNAcentral describes it as "LSU rRNA". It matches the Rfam family "Eukaryotic large subunit ribosomal RNA", at positions 74 to 968 of the family's 3401-position model. Lineage: Eukaryota; Fungi; Ascomycota; Sordariomycetes; Microascales; Ceratocystidaceae. The record is from RNAcentral.
AUUGCCCUAGUAACGGCGGAGCGAAGCGGCAACAGCUCAAAUUUGAAAUCUGGCUACUUUGUAGUCCGAGUUGUAAUUUGUAGAGGAUGCUUUUGGUGAGGUGCCUUCCGAGUUCCCUGGAACGGGACGCCAGAGAGGGUGAGAGCCCCGUACGGUUGGAUACCAAACCUUUGUAUAGCUCCUUCGACGAGUCGAGUAGUUUGGGAAUGCUGCUCUAAAUGGGAGGUAUAUCUCUUCUAAAGCUAAAUAUAGGCUAGAGACCGAUAGCGCACAAGUAGAGUGAUCGAAAGAUGAAAAGCACUUUGAAAAGAGAGUUAAACAGCACGUGAAAUUGUUGAAAGGGAAGCGCCUAUGACCAGACUUGUUUCUUUCAGUUUUGUUAGUUCUCGGACUGAUUUACUCUGUUAGUACAGGCCAGCAUCAGUUUGUUGUCGGGGAGAAAGGCUUAGGGAAUGUGGCUCCUUCGGGAGUGUUAUAGCCCUUUGCAUAAUACCCUUCGGCAGACUGAGGACCGCGCUUCGGCAAGGAUGCUGGCGUAAUGGUCAUCAGCGACCCGUCUUGAAACACGGACCAAGGAGUCAACCUUAUGUGCGAGUGUUUGGGUGUAAAACCCCAGCGCGUAAUGAACGUGAACGUAGGUGAGAGCUUCGGCGCAUCAUCGACCGAUUCUGAUGUUCUCGGAUGGAUUUGAGUAAGAGCACACAGGGUUGGACCCGAAAGAAGGUGAACUAUGCUUGUAUAGGGUGAAGCCAGAGGAAACUCUGGUGGAGGCUCGCAGCGGUUCUGACGUGCAAAUCGAUCGUCAAAUAUGAGCAUGGGGGCGAAAGACUAAUCGAAACCUUCUAGUAGCUGGUUCCAGCCGAAGUU